AUUGUACUCCCUCCAUCCGAAAAUACUUGUCAUCAAAAUGGAUAAAAAGAGAUGUAUAUACAUCUCUUUUUAUCCAUUUUGAUGACUACAUCUCUUUUUAUUUGAUGACUACAUCUCUUUUUAUCCAUUUUGAUGACAAGUAUUUUCGGACGGAGGGAGUACGUG
Molecule: non-coding RNA, 165 nt
Organism: Triticum aestivum (bread wheat)
Lineage: Eukaryota; Viridiplantae; Streptophyta; Magnoliopsida; Poales; Poaceae
Source: Rfam